GAUGAACGCUGGCGGCGUGCCUAAUACAUGCAAGUCGAGCGAACAGACGAGGAGCUUGCUCCUCUGACGUUAGCGGCGGACGGGUGAGUAACACGUGGAUAACCUACCUAUAAGACUGGGAUAACUUCGGGAAACCGGAGCUAAUACCGGAUAAUAUAUUGAACCGCAUGGUUCAAUAGUGAAAGACGGUUUUGCUGUCACUUAUAGAUGGAUCCGCGCCGCAUUAGCUAGUUGGUAAGGUAACGGCUUACCAAGGCAACGAUGCGUAGCCGACCUGAGAGGGUGAUCGGCCACACUGGAACUGAGACACGGUCCAGACUCCUACGGGAGGCAGCAGUAGGGAAUCUUCCGCAACGGGCGAAAGCCUGACGGAGCAACGCCGCGUGAGUGAUGAAGGUCUUCGGAUCGUAAAACUCUGUUAUUAGGGAAGAACAAAUGUGUAAGUAACUAUACACGUCUUGACGGUACCUAAUCAGAAAGCCACGGCUAACUACGUG
Molecule: ribosomal RNA, 497 nt
Filed under: uncultured bacterium
Lineage: Bacteria
Description: partial 16S ribosomal RNA
Rfam family: Bacterial small subunit ribosomal RNA
Source: RNAcentral